CUGACUGGGUACACCUACUGUCCUCAGGUUGGCGCAGUCCUGAAACGGACGCACGAUUCUAAGCUUUUCAACUUUUCAGAUGGACAUAGCAUAUGCAGGGCACACAAUGGCAUAUUACUAAGUGCGAACGCGUACACGACGAGAUGCACAUCAACAUUGCUCGGUGAUACCCGCAUAGCCUGGAUCAACCAGUUUGAGGUUAGAUCAAACAAUGGGAUUGCUUUUACAACCGGAACACCGGCCGACCCUCUUUCCACUCGUUUUGUGGACGUCCCAAUAUACGUCACUUGCGAAAUACCUUGCCAACGUACGGCUGGAGACAGAAUAACUAGUAUUUCAGAGAACGGUACUGUCACAUGUGAACGUGGUUAUGAAUACCUCCAUACACAACCAGUGUGCAGUAAUGCAACUACGCAAAUCCAUAACUGCACCACUAUAACCUGCAAUGUUACCGCUAUUGGCAAUGGCUCUGCUAGCAGUGCUAUCAUCCAAUAUCUAGAUACUGCUUCCUACUCGUGCAACGAUGGUUUUUCCCUUGUGAGCAAUGGCAAGUCA
Sycon ciliatum is the source of this 555-nucleotide long non-coding RNA. RefSeq lists it as uncharacterized. NCBI's taxonomy places the organism in Eukaryota, Metazoa, Porifera, Calcarea, Leucosolenida, Sycettidae. The transcript is spliced from 3 exons. The record is from RefSeq and is a predicted model, not a curated record.